Molecule: RNA transcript, 10768 nt
Organism: Dunckerocampus dactyliophorus (ringed pipefish)
Lineage: Eukaryota; Metazoa; Chordata; Actinopteri; Syngnathiformes; Syngnathidae
Gene: commd5
Gene name: COMM domain containing 5
Exons: 7
Source: RefSeq, a predicted model, not a curated record
GCUGCUGACCCCGCUGACGCCGCCUGUGCUGGCGCUGCUGUGGCUGCUCCUCUUCCAGCCCUCUCGGAUGCUGCUGGCCCGCUGCCUCGGGCUGUGCUCUCUGAUGUAGUUACGCACCUGGAGAUGGCGCCGGGUUAGGGGACAUGGACGCUUUCGCAUGACGGACCAGAGCUGUGUCACAUGACCCACCUGCUUGAGCUUCUCAUCGGUAAGACAGUUGAGCUCAAUGAUGAACUCGCUGUCUGUGGGAGAGAUUUGAGCGCAGGGGUCGAUGAUCUUAAUGAUGUCCAGCUGCUCUCGCAGGCCCAUCUCUGUGCUGACCUUACGACUCAGGUACUCGAUGUACUCCACCUGAAAGAGCGACGCAGGUUUCAGGUGGCUGCAUGUUGUCCUCCACCUGCAAACCCUGCCAGUGUUGGAAGUACUUGUUCGUCAUUGGUCAUGGCGCUCCAAGGCAGCUCAUCCAGGUUGCGGUGAGGGUGAGCUUUGGGCUUCCUCUUGGGAACCAGACAAGGUGAACUUGGGACGCUAGGAAUGAUGUCGGACAGGACAUCACUGCCGCUGGUGAUGUCGCUUCCUGGCAACUGGAGGACAGCGUUUAACCUCACAUUCAUCUACAACCAAUCAGUUGAAUCCGAAAUGAAUCGCCAACCCACCUGCCACUCAAACUCGCUGUCGGACCAGUCCCAGUAGGUGCUAAUCGAGGAGGAAACGUCGCUGCACACGCUGCCCUCCGGAAACAGGUCCAGGGAUGUCAGAUCCUGGUCAUCCAGUAGGGAGUAGCAGUCGUCCUGGUCGCCGACAGACACAGAGGAGAAGAGCUCCUCGCUGCACUCGGAGCUGGCCACACUCGUCCCACAGGAAGUCAGGUUCCACCUGGAGAACCGCAAGUGGAUGAAUUAUUAGCUCACAAUUCAUCAGACAUAAGAUUACAAGUAAGAACGACUUAAGAGUCAUAAGAUAAGUCAACUAAUUAAUGUGAUUGCCUCUCCCGUUAGCUGAUGAUUGACCGCCAACACGCCUGCAUCUUAGUGCGAUUCUGUAAUUAUCAUUACCUUUUAGCGAUGAAUCAACCCACCUCUCCCACGGGAGACAAUGCGCUACUUGCCUGUUACUGUGGAAGCGGCGUAGGGGGUCUGUCCUGUGACAGGAUGAGAGCUGACAGCCAAAAUCACUGACAUCAAGCGUUCCCACAUCACUGAGAUUGGCUCUCUGGGAGAGGAGAGGGAAAGGCUCCUCGGGGGCCAAAAACUUCUCAUACAGAGAAUCAGACAUGGCUGCGUGUACCUGAUGCCAAAGGAGAGACAUUAAGAUUACAUGCAGAAUAAGAGUGUGACAAAAUGUCGAUAUGGAAAACUAUCAGUUUACUAUAUUUAACCUUACGAUGGACUAUCGACACGCUGUCGCCGUGUAUCGUUUUUAAAAUUACUAUUCAAAUAUAAUCACCACAAACCGCUGGAGAACGGAGCCUGUUAUUAUCGCCAUAUCGAGAUAUUACAGUUAUCAUGAGCCAGUAUCAUCGCAUGGUAUCGUGAGGUACCCCGAGAUUCCCAGCCCUAACGUAGAAAUGCCUGCCAAACAUGCCAAAUGUCAGUAUAAUUGUAACAGUAUACAUUAAAACAAGGCAAAAAUGAAAAUGCAACCACGUGAUAUCAUCUGAAUUUAAGACGAGUAGCUCCAAACCAGUCUUACCAUGAUGACAACUGCCACUUUCAACGACAAAACCAAUUCAGCCGAAUUAUAGCAAAUACAGUGAAGCUAAAGACAUAUUUUAUUGUUUCAUUUUCAAUGCAGCUAAACAGAGUUUCGCUGUUUUUCGCUUAAUGUUGUAGUCGCUGGCACUUUGACGUCACCCUUGUUUUUUAAAUCGUCAAGUAAAACAGAAGGCAAACUUGCUGUCGUGCACUCCAAGUAAACAUGUAAAAGGAAGAUGAACUGCGUUUUUGGAGUAUUGUUUGCGGCAAGUUCCUGUUUUUACAAGUGUUUUGUUUUGCUUAGUGGGUCAUUGCGUGGUGUAAUAGCGCAGCGCUAGCUAAUAUUGUUAGCUUGCGGCUAUUGCUAAAUGCCAACCAGGCGGCGACAAAAGCCAUCAAAUGAUAGCAAAGUCAUCCUACUAACAUACGACUGACUCUGAACCUAUUAAAUACAACUUGGGUAGAUUUGUGGGAUAAAAGAGGCAAAUAAUACCAACCUAUUGUCGUUCAAAGUCUGAGAUUUUCCGCAACCUCCAUUUGCAAAUCCUCGCCACCGACGAGCUAAUUGUUCUCGCGAGAAGUGACUCAUCGCGACGGCGGAAGUACGGAAGUGAGCUGAGAGCUUGUGGGAAGUGACGGAGGAGGCGGAAGUGACUGUCGAAUGCUCGAGGCGCCAAAAUUGAAGCGCGAAAAGUGCGAGAUAAGGAAUACAAUAAGUAUUGAAUAUAUAGUUGAGAGAUUUGAUAUCUGGACUGGAGGUGGGUUGUGGGAAGUGGACUGCAUAGGUCUCGGCCGACGGCCUAUAUGGGCCCGGUACGACGAGACCGGUGCGCCACGACCUGCAACAAACCAAAAGAGAUACGAAGAGCUGGUGGCGGUGGAGCGGAGGGAGCUGAAGUGCGAGUGCAACCAAACUGUACCGUGAGUGUAACAAUGGGCUGUAGCUCAGAUGAUGUUAGCGACGAAGGGGCAGAGGAGAUGGAGUACACACAGGUUAAAAUAGCAAGGAAACAGUCAUGGUCAGAAGCAAGCAGCGGGAAAGAUCAUGAUGGAAGACAAACAAAGAAAAAAAUACGAGCUAAAACAAAUGGCAAAGAAGAGUCAGAUGAAGAAUACAAAGUUAUUAUUACAAUGAGCAAAGAUAAAGGACAUUUUCACCCAGUUCAUCUGACUAAAGCAAUUGAAAAAGAAAUAGGGAAAGUUAAAUACGCCAAAAUGCUCAAUAACAGAAGAAUAUUAAUUUCGACAGCAAAUAAAAGACAGCAAGAAAACAUUAUGAGAUUGAAGUACCUUGAUGGAGGAGAAAUAAAAGUACACAUACCAGGAGAGGCAGCAGUAAUAAGAGGAGUUAUAUCAAACGUACCGUUGGAAAUGUCCAUGGAUGAGGUGAAGAGAGAAAUAAGAGGUGGCAAAAUAACAGAAGCUAGACGACUCCAAACCAGCAGAGGAGGAGUAAAAAGUGACAGUUUGUCUGUAUUACUUGUAUUUGAAAAGACAAUACCGACAGACAUACGUAUAGGAUGUAUGAAUUUUAGGGUGAGGGAGUACAUUCCUCAACCACUAAGAUGUUACAAAUGUCAGAGAAUGGGACACACAGCACAGCAAUGUCAGUGGAGGCAAAGGUGUGCAAAGUGUGGUGGAGAACAUGACUAUGGGAAAUGUGCUAGCGAUGCUAAACUAAGAUGUUGCAAUUGUGGAGGAGAACAUAGUGCCGCAUAUGGCGGAUGUGAAGUGCAAAGACAUGCCAAAGAAGUGCAAAAAUACAAAAGAGAAAAUAAGGUAUCAUAUGCUGAAGCAGUAAAGAAUAUAGGUAUGUGUGUAAUUAAGCAAAAUAAACCAGUAGAGAAUCAGGAAACUCAUAUAGACCAGACAGGACAAGUAGUAGGACUUCCUCAGAGAACAGACCAUAGAAGAUCUCAAUCAGAAUGGAAUGCUCCCCAACAGAAAUGUAAUCAUAAGUGUGCAAUUGAAGAAGACACAUUAGUAGUAAAUAAAAAGAACUUUGUAGCUUUUAUAUGUAAAGUCAUCAAUGUGGCCACGAGGCAGGAAAGGAAAAGUGACAGGAUCAAAACGGUUGUGGAAGCGGCAGAACAAUAUUUAAACAUCAAAGACGUGAAAGCAGAAGAAAUACAUAGUAUGUUGACUAUACAUAAUGAUGCAGGACCUCAGAACGGUAAUUAAAAUCACAAUGGUACUCCACAUCCUACAAUGGAAUGCAAGAAGUUUAAUAGCAAAUGGACAAGAACUUAAGAAAUAUAUAACAGAAAGUAGCAAAAGACCUGAUAUUAUAUGUGUGCAAGAAACGUGGCUUAGACCACAGCUGGAUUAUGUGUUGAAUGGCUAUGAAUCAGUGCGAUUCGAUCGAAAAGAAAACCAAGGGGGAGGGUGUGCAACAUUUGUGAGGGAUGGAAUAAUAUAUAAUAGAAUAACAACAGCAAAUGAAAUAGAAUGUGUGAUUGUUGAAAUACAUCAAGCAAAUACAAAUAUAAUCAUUAUUAAUAUAUAUAACCCCUGUAAACUACUAGAUGUUGAAACAAUGGAGAAGAUAAUAAGGAGGCAUGGUGGUAGAGAGAUCUGGUGUGGGGACUUUAAUGCACAUAAUAGUUUAUGGGGAAGUAAGCAAACAGAUCACAAUGGAAUAGUAGUAGAAGAACUCAUGGAUAUCAGACAGUUAGUAUGCUUAAACAAGGGAAAUGGAACAAGAAUAGAUAUACGGUCAAAUACAAUGUCAUGCAUUGAUUUAACUCUGGUCUCACAUAGCUUGGCAAGUUCCUGUGAAUGGUAUGUAAAUGAAACCACAAGUAUAGGAAGUGACCAUUUUCCGAUAAGUUGUACAAUAAACGCAGAAGUAGAUAUCAAAGAAAGACACAGACAUAAAAAGUGGUGCUUUUCAAAAGCGGAUUGGGGAAAAUUCAGGGAGGAAUGUAGUAAAGCAGCAAAUUCAAUAUCAAUGGAAGGUGGCAUAGAGGAAUGCGCAGUUAAGAUCACAAAUAAGAUAAUAGAGGCAGCAAUGAAAAGUAUACCGUGUAAGUCAAUUGGAGGGGAAAGGAAAAUGGUUCCAUGGUGGAAUGAAAAGUGCACAACAGCUGUAAAAGAAAGAAAUUGCGCAUUAAGAAGGUUAAGGAAGAACCUCAGCCAAGAAAAUGUAAUAAAUUAUCAGAGGAAAAAAGCUAUAGCCCGAAGAGUAAUUAAAAACAGUAAACAAAACGCAUGGAGGGAUUAUUGCUCUGCCAUAGGAAGGGAAAUUAAGAUAGGAGAUGUAUGGUCAAUGUUAAAGAAGAUGAGUGGGAAAAACGUGUUUACUAAAAUACCUAUAUUAGAAGAUAAGGGAACAAUGUAUGUGACUGAUAAAGAAAAAGCAAAUGUGCUGGGGAAAAAGUUUGCAGGGGUGCAUAGUGGAGACCAUCUGGAUGAAAAUCAUAGACGAGGGAAGGAGAGGAUGAUUAAAAAGAAUAGGGAUGUGUUACUAAAACAGGAUAGUGAGGAGAGUGUGAUGGAUGUUGAAAUUAAUAUCAAUGAAUUGCUAAUAGUAUUAAAUAAAAGUAAAGAUACUGCAACAGGAGAAGACCAAUUGAGUUAUAUUAUGUUCCAGAAUCUACCAGAAAAUAUGUUGGGAAAAAUAUUAUAUUUAUUUAACAAAAUAUGGGAAGAAGGGAUAAUACCAAAGCAAUGGAAAAGUGCAUUAAUUUUACCAUUUAAUAAACCCGGUAAGGAUCCAAAACACCCUGUGAAUUAUCGACCUAUUGCUCUUACAUCACAUCUAUGCAAAUGGAUGGAGAAAGUUCUAGUCAGAAGACUUAACUAUUUCCUUGAAAGUCGAGAGUUACUUACAACUUAUCAGUGUGGGUUUAGAAAAGGACGAUCAACAAUGGAUGCUGUAGUUAGAGUAAGUAAUGAAAUAGAGAAAACCUUUAAAAUGAAAGAGUUGAUGAAUAUUGUAUUCUUUGAUAUUGAAAAGGCUUAUGAUUCCAUGUGGCGGGAGGGUUUAUUGAUUAAGAUGAAUAGGAUGGGAAUUAGAGGUAGGUUCUAUAACUGGGUCCUUGAUUUCAUAUCGGACAGAAAGUUCAAAGUUAAAGUAGGAUCAGAGAUGUCAGAAGAAUACAGUAUAGCAAAUGGUAUACCACAGGGGAGUGUAAUUAGUCCAGUUUUGUUUAACAUAAUGAUAAAUGAUAUAUUCAUGAAUCUGGAUAGAAGGAUUGGGUCGGCCCUAUAUGCAGAUGAUGGAGUGAUUUGGGCAAGGGGACGAGAUUCUAUAAAUGUGACAAGUAAAAUGAAGGAAGCAAUAAAGAAGAUAGAACAAUGGUCAUAUGACUGGGGAUUUAAGCUAUCACCUAAUAAAACAUGUUACAUGACGAUUACCCGGAAAAAAGGCAUAAAAAAUCAGAACCUGAUGCUAUAUGGACAAAACAUGAUAAAAGUAGAUCAUUUUAAAUAUCUUGGUAUGUGGCUAGAUCAGAAAGGCACAUGGAAGACCCAUGUGGAAAAGGUAGAAGAGAAAUGUAAGAGGAUAAUAAACUUAAUGAGAGCUGUUACAGGUAAGGAGUGGGGAGCAGAUAAACAGUCACUAAUAUAUAUAUAUAGAGCUUUGAUGAGAGCAAAUAUAGAUUAUGGAAGUUUUGUAUAUGGAGCUGCAGCUAAAACACAUUUAAUGAAAAUAGAAAGAAAUAUUCACAAAGCAUUUAGGAUAUGUACAGGUGCAAUCAUAUCAACACCAAUUAAAGCAAUGCAGGUGGAGUUAGGAGAAGUACCGUAUGACCUGAGAAGAGAUCAACUUAUGUUAACAUACUGGAGUAGACUUAAAGGAUGUAGGCAUGGACAUCUGGCCAAGAAUGUGAUAGAGGAAUGUUAGGAGUAUAAUACAACUAAAAGUAAUAGCUUUGGGUGGGUAAUUAAAGAUAAAAUAGAUAAAUAUAACAUAAAAAAUAUACAUAUUAAUAAUUCUACACCCAUAAGCAAUAUUCCUAUUUGGCUAUUUCCGAAACCUGAAGUAGAUAUACAUAUAACAGAGUUAAAAAAUAAAUGGAAAGAUAAUGAAAAAGGACAUAAGGCAAGUCAAUAUAUUAAAAACAAAUAUUAUGGUUACUUAGAUAUGUAUACAGAUGGAUCAAAAAGCGAAGAAGGGAAGGUGGGGAUUGGAAUCUAUGUACCAACAAUGAAUUAUAGCAUCAUUAAAAGAUUACCUGACCAGCUCUCGGUUUAUACAGCAGAAAUGAUGGCAAUUAUUAUAGGCUUGCAAUGGAUAGAGGAAAUAAAACCAGAUAGAGUGGUAUGUUGUGUGGACUCUCUGGCAGCAUUAUAUAGUAUUAAAAAUAUGGAAUCAAGUCGAGAGGAUUUAUUAUUAGAAAUACAUCAAAACUUAUUCCAACUACACAUGUUAAAAAUAGACAUAAGAUUUUGCUGGGUGCCUGCACAUGUAGGGGUGGAGGGGAAUGAGGUGGCAGAUAAAAUGGCUAAAAUGGGAAUUAGAAGGAAUGAAAUUAUAGAUAUACCUGCUGGUAAAGACGAAGUAAAGGCAAUAAUCAAAAAACAAAUGAUGGAGAAAUGGCAAAAUAGGUGGGAUAAGGGUAGUAGCGGGAGAAAGUAUUAUAAAGUACAAAAAUCUAUCAGCACACAAGGGGUGAAGAGAAAAAACAGAAAAGAGGAAAUAGUGUUAACUAGGAUGAGGCUCAAUCACACCGGGUUAAAUGACAAGAUGUUUUUGAUAGGGAAAUGUAAAUGAAAAGUAUGUAUGGAAUGCAAAAGUAUAGAGAACGUAGAACACAUAUUACUACACUGCAAGAGAUAUAGGGAAGAACGUGUAACGUUAAGGAAAAGAAUUAAGAAGAUAGGAAGGGAAUGGAGCAUUGAGGGUAUCUUAGGAACAGGUGGGGAGGGGGUAAGAGAUAUACAGAGGGCAGUGAUAGAAUAUUUGAAGGACACAGGAUUAUAUAAUAGAAUAUAGAUAAGUAUUAGAAUAUUUUAGUAUUAUAUUAUAUAGUAUUAUAUAGUAAUAUAUAGUAUUAUAUAAGUAUUAUUAUUAGGAUUAUUAUUAGUAGUAGUAUAAGUAGUCUCCUCACUAUCUAAGAUAGCAUAAAGUAAGAUACUGUAUAUGGCCCAUGUUACAUACUCCGGUACAGUAGGUGGCGGUAUGCACCUUUUCAAGUCAUGGUUGCAACCCGCCAUUAAACUAAAAGAAGAAGAAGAAGAAGAAGAAGACUCAUCGCGACAAUUACAUGAUCGUCAUGUGACACAACGCGGAAGUUAUCACAGACACCGAAAGAUAUGCACAUAUCUGUAAUUCCGUUCCAGUUACUACUUUGUACGGAAUUGCGUGUUUAGCAAUGUCACUAACCCAAGGAAAGGACAGCAGCUUUCUGGGUGGCAGAAUACCCCCAGAAAUCGAAUCUAUGGCAAAACACCUCAAGGAUGUGGAGCAAGAGAUGUUCAGAAAAUUACUGAAAGCUGUGGUGAAUGCCCUGGAGGGGAAGGACUGCAGAGACACGAUGAAGUCAAUAGCAGAAACUAGUGCGCUUCCGCAGGAGAAGCUCAGUCACAUCGUAGCUGGAAUGUACAGAUUAUUGUCUGAGGCUAUCCGCAUACCACCGGCAUUACUUAAACAGGAGGCCUUUAAAGAAGAUCUUCGCGACCUGAGGCAAGAAUCGUCAUUUAUUGAUCACUGUUCUCCGUCCUGUACUUCCUCUCCUGUUAAUGACUGCUUUGUUUUGACCUCAGGAUACCAGAAGACUUAAUAACAGAUUUCUGCAGUGUGGUUUUUGGAAAUCGGCGUGCAGCUCUGGAAGCAGCGACUUCUCAGAGGGACCCCCGCCUGCCUACAAUAGAUGCAUUUAAGUGGAGAGUGGACGUCGCCAUUUCUACAAGCUCUGUGGCCAAAGCACUGCAGCCUUCUGUGCUGAUGCAGAUGAAACUGUCCAAUGGACGCUCACAUCAAUUUGAGGGGGCGACAAACUCCAUGCUAGUCUCCUCAACUGAGACUGGCGACUGCUGUAGCUUCCACUAAAAGUAGAAAAAAAGUCAGAGGAUUGAGUCUGCUGCCACAGCAGGUGCCAGUGGCGAAAUUCCAGGAACUCCGCUACAACGUGGCUCUGAUUCUCAAAGAGAUGAACGAUCUGGAGAAGAGGAGCAUUCUGAGGAUACAAGAUUGAUAAACAUUGUGUUUUUCGUGGAAGCAUUUAGAGUGGUAUGACCAGAAAGCUGAAAACUGAAAAGGAUUUAUAUCUAAAAAUGAUUGUUCUCAAAUAGUUUCUUUGUACUAUAUAAUACUUUACUGUGUAAUACUUUACAUGGGCUCAAUGACCACAAGACAUUUACCAUCCAAUAAACUACAAUGCAAUAUGCUUGCUUUUAUAAAGAUCAUAAGGCUCAGUUUUUACUGACAUUCUAGGCCAUCCUCUUCUCCAGCAGUAGUUAGGGUGGUGAGGUCCCUGCAGGGUCCACAAUCACCAACCACAACUUUUCGUUUUGGGUGCUUUGAAUUCAUGGUACUCUUUGUGGUGGACGUAGGAUCAGUGGGUCCCAAAUCCUCUUCCGACCCAUUGUGCUCGGUGUGACGGAUACCGAACCACCUAGUAUCAGUACUAGCUGUCCUAACGCAGUUUUGCCGGCAGGUCGAUGCCGUUGCCCAAGGUGUGACCCAUGUUAUGGCCGAGCAGCUACAUGGAGCCAUGCGUGAGAGUUGGGUGCUGUAUGUGGACCAAUACAGAUCGGCCACCUAGCAGUACGGUACGUGCGACCCCUUUACUGUAGAGGUGCUACCACAAUAUAACACCCCAACUUUUGUGGUCAGUCAUCAGUCUGACCACCAAAAAUUGUCAUCAUUCCCCGCCACCCCGCCCUCGGCAUAGGCUUAAAUUGUUUGCAACAUUUCAUCGCCCAUUCGCCUUGUAUCCGUGGUUUUGAUUUGGGUUCAUUUGUUCCAAGUCCCAAGGAGGAGUUCAUCGAAGUAAGUUUUCACCCCAAACGAGCUGGUCCAAACCAAAAUGGCUGACUUCCUGGCUGUUUGUGAACACAGACAGUCCCAAUAUAAUGUGUCUGUGAUAGCGGCAAAUCUAAAAAUGAAAAAAGGUCAUGCAAAAUCUAUCUGUGGUGAUCCAAAUUUAUUUGUGGUGAGUCACCUCAAAUGAAUGUUUGGGAAGCUCUUAUAUUAAGGCCCCGAAUAUGCAACAAAUCUUUGAUAAAAAUAAUAAGCAUUGCAGUUGAAAUGUUUAUUAUUAUAGAAGUUUUAUACACACACAACACUAAACCUUUACAACACUCCAAUUUCUCUGGAGGAAAAACCUACAGUACAUGUUUAAGUAUUUAGAUGAUCUGUCUCUCUUCCAUUGUUAAUUCCCUUUCUUCUUGCCAUUUUUGUAGCAACAAAUUGUUUUCUCCAGUACAAUGCUGUUCAGGGCUGCACGGUGGCCUAGUGGUUAGCAUGUUGGCCACACAGUCAGAUCAGGAAGAUCUGGGUUUGAAUCUCCGUUGGGCAUCUCUGUUUGCAUAUUCCUUCCACAUUCCAAAAACAUUCAGUUUCCAUAGAAGAUGGAUGGAUGGACAACGCUGUUCAUCUGAUGUUCACGAGGGUAUGGUACCACACCGUUUUCUGAACACUGUUUUUAUACAGACAGAGGAGGUAGUAAGUUGGCUGCACCAAUUGCCAACCUCCAUUUCUGCAGAACAGCUUUAAACUGUUGACCCAUUUUGUGGUCCCUGAAGCAGGCCUUUUUGUAUCAUUCUGAAAUACACAUUAUUUUUCAGUUUUGGGUAACAUUACCUCUGGCAGCUCACCACCUUUGUACCAUUUCAAGCUAUUCAUUGGACUUGAACAACUUGAAUUUCAAUAAAUAACUGGAAAAUUGAGGGUGUUCUAAAACUUUUGACCGGUAGUGUGUUGUAGUAGAAUGUGUGUGUAUUGUGGGUUUGUACUGGUGUGUACUGGUGUACUGUAAUCCAUUCUGACGUCUGACACCAAGCAAACAAUGGAUAAUAUUUUUUUCUAUUGUGGGUAACUUAAUUCAAACAUACAAUGAAUGAAGCUGAUAAAACCAUGCUUUACAUCCAGCAUUAUUUGCUAAUGUGCAUGUUCAUCUUAACAC